RNAcentral lists this ribosomal RNA (253 nucleotides) under uncultured bacterium. RNAcentral describes it as "partial 16S ribosomal RNA". It matches the Rfam family "Bacterial small subunit ribosomal RNA", at positions 524 to 776 of the family's 1533-position model. The record is from RNAcentral.
UACGAAGGGGGCGAGCGUGGUUCGGAUUUACUGGGCGUAAAGCGUGCGCAGGCGGUUUUGUAAGCCAGAUGUGAAAUCCCCGGGCUUAACCUGGGAAUGGCAUUUGGGACUGCAAGGCUGGAGUGCGGCAGAGGAGACUGGAAUUCCUGGUGUAGCAGUGAAAUGCGUAGAUAUCAGGAGGAAUACCGAUGGCGAAGGCAGCCUCCUGGGCCAGCACUGACGCUCAUGCACGAAAGCGUGGGGAGCAAACAGG